RNAcentral lists this long non-coding RNA (606 nucleotides) under Zea mays. RNAcentral describes it as "long non-coding RNA (ZMAY_LNC002305)". The record is from RNAcentral. Lineage: Eukaryota; Viridiplantae; Streptophyta; Magnoliopsida; Poales; Poaceae.
AAAUCUAUAUGGAAUUUGGAGAAGAACUGGUCUAAAGAAGAGCUGUUAGAAAAUAUGGAUUUCAGACUUAGGGCCCGUUUGUUUCGUUGGAAUUGAAUUCCAUUUUAAUAAUUAUACUUUAGACAAAACUAAUUAAGUUUAUAUAUUUAUAUAUGUAAUAUAUUUGUAUAUUAUCCUAAAUCAUAUGAGAGAGAUAGUUAUAUACUACAUUUAUGUUAUAGAGGCGCAAGUAGAAGAAUGUGCUAUAAGUUGUACAUCGGAAAAAUAGCAUGUAAAUCUAUAGAAUCCAUUUCCAUCUCUCACCUCAUGAAUUUGAGGUAGGCUUAUAUGAUAACUUUGGAAAGUGGUGGAAUGUCAUAUUCUACAAAAAAAUAGCCUAUUCCAUUAGUAAUAUUCCAAUUCCUCGAAAUGAAAGGAAACAAACGGGGCCUUAGUGAAAUUCAGAUUCUGAAUUUCAGCAAUUGGAGCAAACUUUGGGCUAUUGUAGUUUGGAAUCCAAGAGGUUUUGGUUAAUGGUCACUGUAUCAAACUUGUAGAGGAACUAUAGGAGUAUAAACUUUAUUAAGCAACUUGCCCCUAGAAAUAUUUGUAACUCAAGAAAAAGUG